This 413-nucleotide ribosomal RNA is filed under the name uncultured eukaryote. RNAcentral describes it as "SSU rRNA". It matches the Rfam family "Eukaryotic small subunit ribosomal RNA", at positions 567 to 990 of the family's 1831-position model. The record is from RNAcentral.
CCAGCAGCUGCGGUAAUUCCAGCUCUAAUAGCGUAUAUUAAAGUUGUUGCAGUUAAAAAGCUCGUAGUCGGAAGUCGGGCUCGGGCAGGCUGUCGGCCUCGGUUGGGCAGCUUGCUUGGGUCUUCUAGCUCGGGGGCCCCGUGCCAUUUAACCGUGGUGCGCGGGAACACGGGCCGUUUACUUUGAAAAAAUUAGAGUGUUCAAAGCAGGCCUACGCUUGAAUACAUUAGCAUGGAAUAAUGGAAUAGGACUUUGGUGCUAUUUCGUUGGUUAAUGGGACCGAAGUAAUGAUUAAAAGGGACAGUUGGGGGCAUUAGUAUUUAAUUGUCAGAGGUGAAAUUCAAGGACUUAUGAAAGACGGACUUCUGCGAAAGCAUCUGCCAAGGAUGUUUUCAUUGAUCAAGAACGAAAGU